GGUCAUUUACAUAUUCGCUGAUCUGUUCAUGCGGUCAUUCACCUAGGCAUGCACUCGCUUAAUUUACUAAUGUCAACUUCUCUCAUUAUUUCAUUUCAGCGGUUUUCUACUCCUCCAACCAUAUUUGUAACGGCUAGUCACCAAGUUCCCAAGAGACCUCAAGAUGCCAUAGCCGUGUGGGUGGAGGAGUUGCGCGUAGACAAUUUCAAAAUUUGUCUCAGAGAAGCAAAGAUUUUCGAUGGACCCCAUAAAGGGAUAAAUAUAAACUGGAUGGCAUUUACAAAUCUGAGUGUUGACAAUUUUACCAUAACCGACAGUCUCGUGUUUACCAACAAACUCACCAUCUGAUCAGGAUAACUACGCUUUCUGUCAAACAGUGAACUUCACAAAACCAUUUUAUGC
Long non-coding RNA from Orbicella faveolata, 402 nucleotides. NCBI's taxonomy places the organism in Eukaryota, Metazoa, Cnidaria, Anthozoa, Scleractinia, Merulinidae. The record is from RefSeq and is a predicted model, not a curated record.